GGAUUAGAUACCCUGGUAGUCCUAGCCGUAAACGAUGGGUACUAGGUGUUGGAGGAUAUUGACCCCUUCAGUGCCGUAGCUAACGCAUUAAGUACCCCGCCUGGGGAGUACGGCCGCAAGGCUGAAACUCAAAGGAAUUGACGGGGACCCGCACAAGCAGUGGAGCAUGUGGCUCAAUUCGAGGCAACGCGAAGAACCUUACCUGGGCUUGACAUCUGGGGAAUCUUUUAGAAAUAGAAGAGUGCCUUCGGGAACCCCAAGACAGGUGCUGCAUGGCUGUCGUCAGCUCGUGCCG
This 295-nucleotide ribosomal RNA is filed under the name uncultured bacterium. Its description in RNAcentral is "partial 16S ribosomal RNA". It matches the Rfam family "Bacterial small subunit ribosomal RNA", at positions 775 to 1067 of the family's 1533-position model. The record is from RNAcentral.